GGAGAGGUCGCAUAGUCCGGUCGAGUGCGCACGAUUGGAAAUCGUGUGGGCGAUGAGCCCCGCGGGUUCAAAUCCCGCCCUCUCCG
RNAcentral lists this transfer RNA (86 nucleotides) under Chloroflexota bacterium. RNAcentral's name for it is "Chloroflexi bacterium (oil production facility metagenome) tRNA-Ser". It matches the Rfam family "tRNA". From Rfam's summary of the family: Transfer RNA (tRNA) molecules are approximately 80 nucleotides in length. Their secondary structure includes four short double-helical elements and three loops (D, anti-codon, and T loops). RNAcentral also lists the same sequence under 2 other names. Lineage: Bacteria; Bacillati; Chloroflexota. The record is from RNAcentral.